AUGCUAUAUGAGCCCCAGGCAUGCUAUCAGAGAGCUCCUUCUGCCUGGGCUGCUCCUUGGGCCUUGGAGAGAUGAAGUCCCCAUGGUGUGGAGUGGUGCAAAAAGGUAAGAGGGUUGUCGGCCCGGUCAGUUUCCUUCACCAAUGCUAAGGCAAGUCUUUGAAGAGAAACAGCCUGGUUGCUUGUGCUGCCCCCUGUUGAACUAAGCCAGACCAAAAACAGGGCUGC
Anas platyrhynchos (mallard) is the source of this 227-nucleotide non-coding RNA. The record is from RefSeq and is a predicted model, not a curated record. Lineage: Eukaryota; Metazoa; Chordata; Aves; Anseriformes; Anatidae.